GACGAACGCUGGCGGCGUGCUUAACACAUGCAAGUCGAACGGAAAGGCCCUGCUUUUGUUGGGUGCUCGAGUGGCGAACGGGUGAGUAACACGUGAGUAACCUGCCCUUGACUUUGGGAUAACUUCAGGAAAAUGGGGCUCAUACCGGAUAGGAGCUCCUGCUGCAUGGUGGGGGUUGGAAAGAUUCGGCGGUUGGGGAUGGACUGGCGGCUUAUCCGCUUGUUUGUGGGGUAGUGGCUUACCAAGGCUGUGACGGAUAGCCGGCCUGAGAGGGUUACCGGCCACAAUGGGACUAAGAGAGGGCCCAGAAUCCUACGGGAGGCAGCAGGCGAGAGUAUUACACAAUGGGCGGAAGCCUGAGGCGGCAACGCUGCGUGCGGGAUGACGGCUUUCGGGGUGUAAACCGCUUUCGCCUGUGACGAAGCGGGAGUGACGGUAAUGGGUAAAGAAGCACCGGCUAACUACGUG
Molecule: ribosomal RNA, 468 nt
Filed under: uncultured bacterium
Lineage: Bacteria
Description: partial 16S ribosomal RNA
Rfam family: Bacterial small subunit ribosomal RNA
Source: RNAcentral